Molecule: unclassified non-coding RNA, 289 nt
Filed under: Hevea brasiliensis (rubber tree)
Lineage: Eukaryota; Viridiplantae; Streptophyta; Magnoliopsida; Malpighiales; Euphorbiaceae
Source: RNAcentral
ACUUGUUCAUUGCUCUGAACUGUUUCAUCCUAAUGAGCACAGCGCUAUCAAUGGGCUUGGUAGAGGCCUCGCCCUCAAUCUUCAACCAAGGAUGUUCAAGUGCUUCGGCAGCGGUGAUCCGCUUCUUGGGGUCCCUUGUUAACAUUUUAGAGACAAGAUCCUUGGCAGAAGGGGAUAUGGAAGGCCAUGGAGCAUCUUCCAUUUGUAGGUUGCCUUUCUGAACUGCUUUUAUUAUUUCGUCCUCGGUCUUUCCCCAAAAGGGAGGCUCUCCGCACAAGAUAAUAUAGAG